UACGUAGGGUGCGAGCGUUAAUCGGAAUUACUGGGCGUAAAGCGUGCGCAGGCGGUUUUGUAAGUCAGCUGUGAAAUCCCCGGGCUUAACCUGGGAAUGGCAUUUGGGACUGCAAGGCUGGAGUGUGGCAGAGGAGACUGGAAUUCCUGGUGUAGCAGUGAAAUGCGUAGAUAUCAGGAGGAAUACCGAUGGCGAAGGCAGGUCUCUGGGCUGACACUGACGCUCAUGCACGAAAGCGUGGGGAGCAAACAGG
RNAcentral lists this ribosomal RNA (253 nucleotides) under uncultured bacterium. RNAcentral describes it as "partial 16S ribosomal RNA". It matches the Rfam family "Bacterial small subunit ribosomal RNA", at positions 524 to 776 of the family's 1533-position model. The record is from RNAcentral.